GGGAGGCAAAGAAUUUAAUCCAUGCGGCGAAGGUUCACAAGCUCAUCUUAACUCAACUGUGUACAAUAAAGGACUAUAAUAUCUGCAAUCUGUUAGCAUGGUUUUCAAAAUGCCUGAUGUCAGUCGAUGAACAGCCAUUCCAAGAAGUCAAAUCAAUGAUGCCAAAUAAUUUAAAGGAGUAUACUGUGAAGGCCCUUCUUCAACUGCAUAUUCAUCUCCAAGAUAAGAAUAGAAAGUAAAAUGAAAGCCACCAGCCACCCACAUUCAAACAGAAUCAAUAAAAGAACCCAAAGAUCCCAUCCCACACUGCCCAACUGAUAUUGUAAGUUGUUCAUCACUUGAUCGAUUCAGUUUGCAACAAAGACGUCGUGGAACCAAAUGCCAAUUCUUUGUUGCAGCAUACCCCAACACCUGAAUAUUUUCCACAUAA
RNAcentral lists this unclassified non-coding RNA (430 nucleotides) under Hevea brasiliensis (rubber tree). Lineage: Eukaryota; Viridiplantae; Streptophyta; Magnoliopsida; Malpighiales; Euphorbiaceae. The record is from RNAcentral.